Molecule: ribosomal RNA, 399 nt
Filed under: uncultured bacterium
Lineage: Bacteria
Description: partial 16S ribosomal RNA
Rfam family: Bacterial small subunit ribosomal RNA
Source: RNAcentral
CCUACGGGCGGCAGCAGUGGGGAAUAUUGCACAAUGGGCGAAAGCCUGAUGCAGCAACGCCGCGUGAGCGAUGAAGGCCUUCGGGUCGUAAAGCUCUGUCCGCAAAGAAGAGAAUGACGGUACGUGAGGAGGAAGCCCCGGCUAACGACGUGCCAGCAGCCGCGGUAAUACGUAGGGGGCGAGCGUUAUCCGGAAUUACGGGGCGUAAAGGGUGCGUAGGUGGUUUCUGAAGUCAGAGGUUAAAGGCUACGGCUCAACCGUAGUAAGCCUUUGAAACGGGGAAACUUGAGUGCAGGAGAGGAGAGUGGAAUUCCUUGUGUAGCGGUGAAAUGCGUCGAUAUUAGGAGGAACACCAGUUGCGAAGGCGGCUCUCUGGACUGUACCUGACACUGCGGCACG